This 180-nucleotide ribosomal RNA is filed under the name Gaultheria beccarii. Its description in RNAcentral is "Diplycosia acuminata 5.8S ribosomal RNA". The stretch from base 1 to 140 matches the Rfam family "5.8S ribosomal RNA", at positions 17 to 154 of the family's 154-position model. From Rfam's summary of the family: 5.8S ribosomal RNA (5.8S rRNA) is a component of the large subunit of the eukaryotic ribosome. It is transcribed by RNA polymerase I as part of the 45S precursor that also contains 18S and 28S rRNA. Functionally, it is thought that 5.8S rRNA may be involved in ribosome translocation. Lineage: Eukaryota; Viridiplantae; Streptophyta; Magnoliopsida; Ericales; Ericaceae. RNAcentral also lists the same sequence under 3 other names. The record is from RNAcentral.
UAUCUCGGCUCUUGCAUCGAUGAAGAACGUAGCGAAAUGCGAUACUUGGUGUGAAUUGCAGAAUCCCGUGAACCAUCGAGUCUUUGAACGCAAGUUGCGCCUGAAGCCAUUAGGUUGAAGGCACGUCUGCCUGGGCGUCACGCAUUGCGUCACCCACUCCCCCGUGCCUAAGAGGGCAUG